This 254-nucleotide ribosomal RNA is filed under the name uncultured bacterium. Its description in RNAcentral is "partial 16S ribosomal RNA". It matches the Rfam family "Bacterial small subunit ribosomal RNA", at positions 524 to 776 of the family's 1533-position model. The record is from RNAcentral.
UACGUAGGGUGCGAGCGUUGUCCGGAAUUAUUGGGCGUAAAGCGCGUGUAGGCGGGACGGCACGUCGGUCGCUGAAAGCCCCCGGCUCAACCGGGGAACGGGCGCCGAUACGACCGGCCUGGAGGGACGUAGGGGGACCUGGAACUUCCGGUGGAGCGGUGAAAUGCGUAGAGAUCGGAAAGAACACCAACGGCGAAAGCACUCUGCUGGGCCGACACUGACACUGAGGAGCGAAAGCGUGGGGAGCGAACAGG